UGGAUUAGUGGCGAACGGGUGAGUAACACGUGAGCAACCUGCCCAAGACUUUCGGGAUAAGCCUGGGAAACUGGGUCUAAUACUGGAUAUGACCUUUCAUCGCAUGGUGUUUGGUGGAAAGAUUUUUUGGUUUUGGAUGGGCUCGCGGCCUAUCAGCUUGUUGGUGAGGUAAUGGCUUACCAAGGCUUCGACGGGUAACCGGCCUGAGAGGGUGACCGGUCACACUGGGACUGAGACACGGCCCAGACUCCUACGGGAGGCAGCAGUGGGGAAUAUUGCACAAUGGGCGAAAGCCUGAUGCAGCGACGCCGCGUGAGGGAUGACGGCCUUCGGGUUGUAAACCUCUUUCAGUCAGGAACAAGCC
This 364-nucleotide ribosomal RNA is filed under the name Haematomicrobium sanguinis. RNAcentral describes it as "bacterial SSU rRNA". It matches the Rfam family "Bacterial small subunit ribosomal RNA", at positions 88 to 452 of the family's 1533-position model. Lineage: Bacteria; Bacillati; Actinomycetota; Actinomycetes; Micrococcales; Micrococcaceae. The record is from RNAcentral.